RNAcentral lists this ribosomal RNA (810 nucleotides) under uncultured bacterium. Its description in RNAcentral is "bacterial SSU rRNA". It matches the Rfam family "Bacterial small subunit ribosomal RNA", at positions 8 to 796 of the family's 1533-position model. The record is from RNAcentral.
AGAGUUUGAUCCUGGCUCAGAACGAACGCUGGCGGCGUGCCUAACACAUGCAAGUCGAGCGAGAAAGCCCGCAAGGGUGAGUAAAGCGGCGCACGGGUGCGUAACACGUGGGUAAUCUUCCUUGGAGCUCGGAAUAACUCCCCGAAAGGGGUGCUAAUGCCGGAUAAGACCACGGGGUCCUCGGACCCUGAGGGAAAAGGCGGCCUCUGUAUACAAGCUGUCACUCCAAGAUGAGCCCGCGGCCCAUCAGCUCGUUGGCGGGGUAAUGGCCCACCAAGGCUACGACGGGUAGCUGGUCUGAGAGGACGAUCAGCCACACUGGAACUGAGACACGGUCCAGACUCCUACGGGAGGCAGCAGUGGGGAAUCUUGCGCAAUGGGCGAAAGCCUGACGCAGCAACGCCGCGUGUGUGAUGAAGGUCUUCGGAUCGUAAAGCACUGUCGGGAGGGACGAAUAAGGGGCGGGCUAACAUCCCGUUCCGAUGACGGUACCUCCAAAGGAAGCACCGGCUAACUCUGUGCCAGCAGCCGCGGUAAUACAGAGGGUGCAAGCGUUGUUCGGAAUUAUUGGGCGUAAAGCGCGUGUAGGCGGCCAAGCAAGUCGGGUGUGAAAGCCCUCGGCUUAACCGAGGAAGUGCGCCCGAAACUACAUGGCUUGAGUACCGGAGAGGGUGGCGGAAUUCCCGGUGUAGAGGUGAAAUUCGUAGAUAUCGGGAGGAACACCAGUGGCGAAGGCGGCCACCUGGACGGAUACUGACGCUGAGACGCGAAAGCGUGGGUAGCAAACAGGAUUAGAUACCCUAGUAGUCC